This 275-nucleotide ribosomal RNA is filed under the name uncultured prokaryote. RNAcentral describes it as "partial 16S ribosomal RNA". It matches the Rfam family "Bacterial small subunit ribosomal RNA", at positions 524 to 798 of the family's 1533-position model. The record is from RNAcentral.
UACGGAGGAUCCGAGCGUUAUCCGGAUUUAUUGGGUUUAAAGGGUGCGCGGGCGGGAAAUUAAGUCGGCGGUGAAAUUUUGCGGCUCAACCGUAAAAGUGCCUUCGAUACUGGUUUUCUUGAGUGUAGAUGAAGUAGGCGGAAUUUGUGGUGUAGCCGUGAAAUGCAUAGAUAUCACGAGGAACUCAGAUUGCGCAGGCAGCUUACUAAACUACUACUGACGCUCAGGCACGUAGGCGUGGGGAUCAAACAGGAUUAGAUACCCUGGUAGUCCCU